Notolabrus celidotus (New Zealand spotty) is the source of this 987-nucleotide long non-coding RNA. RefSeq lists it as uncharacterized. The record is from RefSeq and is a predicted model, not a curated record. The transcript is spliced from 4 exons. NCBI's taxonomy places the organism in Eukaryota, Metazoa, Chordata, Actinopteri, Labriformes, Labridae.
AAUAUGAUCGGUUCUUCUGCUGAGGCCAUUUUAACAAAACAACAAAUCAAAACUUGCAUGCGUGUCACGUAAGGCUGCGUCUGUGUACAUGAAACUUUUUUUUUUUUUUUAAUUGCAGCCUUUGCGAUUUGAUAAUUGCAUUCUAUUAUAUUGCGAUGUCGGUUUGAAUUCGAUUAAUCGUUCAGCCCUACUGCAGAAACACUCUUUAGAGAACUAAAGGAGUUAAAAUGACUGAAAACAGAUGCUGGGUGGACCCUCUUCCUUGAGACAGAUAAUGUGGCAUAGUGUCCUCCUCCAUGUCAGAGACCAGCACCGCUGCUCUUUUGGAAGUUGUGACCUCGGGCCACUUGAUGAGAGCAGCAGAGAUAAGCCAUGGAUGGUGUGAGGCUCUCCAUCACAUCAGGCUCGUGAAUCCAUCAGUGUAUGAGGCGCACACUCCUCUGGCACCUCAGCCACAGGCCUGCAGCCCUGACUCUGAUGGUAACAAUAGAGAAAUCCUUGGAAGACGGUUGAAAUCUGUGAAGAGACUUCCCAAAACAAGAACAUUAAGACCUGAUGACCAAAGGAGUCUUGGACAUCUUCCUGGGAUUCCUCCACCACCUACAGUACAACAGAACUAGCACAAGCAUGCAUCCAACGCAGAGAAGUUUGUACACAUGCAGGCAUAUUUUUCUUGCAUCACUUGCAUGACAAACAAGAAUAAAUAUUAUAUAUCUCAUAUCUGCAGCAUAGUCUGAAUAUUGAUAAAGCAGCAUGGAUGAUCAUAAAAUAUUUUACUUUUAGAGUAAAAUGUGACACAUGUAGUCACUCUAAGCUUCCUUUUGUUCCUCUUUUAACCAUCACUAUAUCUUCUCUUUCACUCUUACAGAACCUGCCUGUAUGAAAAGUGUAAAGUUGUAUCAUCAUACACCGUGUAACAGAUAUGUAAAUAAUGUGAAGAACUGUAAAUAUUGUAUAUUGAAAUUAAAAGACAAGACUUUAUUUGCA